UACGGAGGGGGCAAGCGUUAUCCGGAUUCACUGGGUUUAAAGGGUGCGUAGGCGGGCUGGUAAGUCAGCGGUGAAAUCUCCAGGCUUAACUUGGAAACUGCCAUUGAUACUGUCAGUCUUGAAUACCGUGGAGGUCAGCGGAAUAUGUCAUGUAGCGGUGAAAUGCUUAGAUAUGACAUAGAACACCAAUUGCGAAGGCAGCUGGCUACACGAAUAUUGACACUGAUGCACGAAAGCGUGGGGAUCAAACAGG
This 253-nucleotide ribosomal RNA is filed under the name uncultured bacterium. Its description in RNAcentral is "partial 16S ribosomal RNA". It matches the Rfam family "Bacterial small subunit ribosomal RNA", at positions 524 to 776 of the family's 1533-position model. The record is from RNAcentral.